UGAAUACGAGAUACUACGGUGUCGAAGCAGUCUAUGUCAUCCUUCCAAGAAAAGCUUGCACUGUCAUAAACAAAUAAUGCCUGUACCAUAACCGACACAGGUGGGUAGGUAGAGUAUACUAAGGGGCGCGAGAUAACUCUCUCUAAGGAACUCGGCAAAAUGACUCCGUAACUUCGGGAGAAGGAGUGCCUUAUAUUUAUAAGGUUGCAAUAACAAGAUCCAAGCAACUGUUUAUCAAAAACACAGGUCUCCGCUAAGUCGUAAGACGAUGUAUGGGGGCUGACGCCUGCCCAGUGCCAGAAGGUUAAAGAAGUUGGUUAGCUUUUGCGAAGCUGAUAACUGAAGCCCUGGUGAACGGCGGCCGUAACAAUAACGGUCCUAAGGUAGCGAAAUUCCUUGUCGGGUAAGUUCCGACCCGCACGAAAGGCGUAAUGAUUUGGAUACUGUCUCGGAGAGGGACUCGGUGAAAUAGACUUGUCUGUGAAGAUGCGGACUACUUGCACCAGGACAGAAAGACCCUAUGAAGCUUUACUGUAACCUGGAAUUGAAAUUGGACUUUACUUGCGCAGGAUAGGUGGGAGGCUUUGAGAAUAUUCUUGCGGGAAUAUUGGAGCCAUCAGUGAGAUACCACUCUGGUAAUGUUAGAUUUCUAACUUUGUAUCAUUAUCUGGUCAAAGAACAGUUUCAGGCGGGCAGUUUGACUGGGGCGGUCGCCUCCUAAACGGUAACGGAGGCGCACAAAGGUUUCCUCUGAACGGGUAGAAAUCGUAUCUAGAGUGUAAAGGCAUAAGGAAGCUUGACUGUGAGACCUGCAAGUCGAGCAGGGACGAAAGUCGGUCUUAGUGAUCUGACGGUGCUGAGUGGAAAGGCCGUCACUCAACGGAUAAAAGUUACUCUAGGAUAACAGGCUGAUCUCCCCCAAGAGUUCACAUCGACGGGGAGGUUUGGCACCUCGAUGUCGGCUCAUCGCAUCCUGGGGCGGUAGUACGUCCCAAGGGUUGGGCUGUUCGCCCAUGAAAGCGGUACGCGAGCUGGGUUCAGAACGUCGUGAGACAGUUCGGUCCAUAUCCGGUGUAAGCGUUAGAAUAUUGAGAGGAGCCUUCUUUAGUACGAGAGGACCGGGAAGGAUGCACCGCUGGUGUACCAGUUAUUGUGCCAACAGUAAACGCUGGGUAGCUAUGUGUGGAGUGGAUAACCGCUGAAAGCAUCUAAGUGGGAAGCCCACCUCAAGAUAAGUAUUCU
Molecule: ribosomal RNA, 1242 nt
Filed under: metagenome
Description: bacterial LSU rRNA
Rfam family: Bacterial large subunit ribosomal RNA
Source: RNAcentral